GCCAUUUUCGUGAGGGGGUGAGAUGCCCCAUUUCGACUCGAUAUCCGAUGGUUCCAUCACAUGUAUCGCCCCAUCGCUCAUCCCCAGUGCUAUCUGGUUCGCCUCCGAUGGGUGGGCAGCUAUCACCAAAGGAUGCACCGUGCCACUAGAAGAUGAAAUAUAGGCAGACGAUGCGAUCCGACACCGGAGCCUCAGGGUGUCGAAAUCGAAAACUCCAACCGCG
Molecule: unclassified non-coding RNA, 223 nt
Filed under: Hevea brasiliensis (rubber tree)
Lineage: Eukaryota; Viridiplantae; Streptophyta; Magnoliopsida; Malpighiales; Euphorbiaceae
Source: RNAcentral